CGGCCUGCAGGUCGUUGUUUGGGCGCUGAAAGCGUGAGGGAUCCGGACUGAGUUGAAGACACCCAGCCCUAGGUACCAGCUGGAGAUGUUCAGUCACUUCAAGAACGCUGGAGGCGGAGAGAGUCACUUGAGGGAGUUUCCGCUGUCAUUGCCUCUGGAUGGUUUUGCGACUUUCCUCACAGGUGGAAAGACUAUGUCCAGUACACAGCAGAUGCCUGGGGCUCCUUUUGCUGUUCUCAAAGUUCCUUUGGGAAAGCAGACUCUGACUCCAGCUUCACCAAGAGUUCCCGUGACUACUUCAAACAUGAGUUCAACAAUCUCUGGGGGUCUCCAGCUCCUGCCUUCAAUCCUACCUCUGAGACCCGUGUGAUUUCUCCCUGUGUGAAGAGGGGCCAGCCCCACGUGCCCUUCUGAUGUGGCACGACAGGCAGACCGGUAAGAAUUUAUACACUUUAACAGAGAAGGAUGAAGGCCCAGGAGCCUGCCUCCCAGCUCAGCACUUCCUGAGACCUGAGUUCAAGUCUCUGUGAUCUCUCCGAGUGUAGAAAUAAACCACCUGAUUGUGGCUACAGCUGUCACAGCCAAGAAAA
Peromyscus eremicus (cactus mouse) is the source of this 590-nucleotide long non-coding RNA. RefSeq lists it as uncharacterized. The transcript has 4 exons. Lineage: Eukaryota; Metazoa; Chordata; Mammalia; Rodentia; Cricetidae. The record is from RefSeq and is a predicted model, not a curated record.